This 545-nucleotide small RNA is filed under the name Pan troglodytes (chimpanzee). RNAcentral's name for it is "retained intron". The record is from RNAcentral. Lineage: Eukaryota; Metazoa; Chordata; Mammalia; Primates; Hominidae.
AGGCUGGGGGAGCUCAGACAGGAGGCUAGGAGGAGGGGGACUUUGGGGCUGAGGCUUUGCCAAAGGAGCAGGAGUUUGCCAAGUGUUGUAGGAAGCGGGAAGGGUGCGCCAGGUAGGGGGCACGGCGUGUGCCAAGGCCCGGAAACGUGAAACCGAGUGCUUUUCGGGGGCAACCGGGAAGUCAGUUGGUGGAGAAAAAUCAAAGAUGGGAGGAAAGGCGAGGCUGACAAGGACCCUAAACGGUGAUUCCCCAAGUCGGCCACUGGAGGGAUGACUUGGGGGACCAGGGAGGAAGAGCAGGCAUGAGCCAGCGUUCCCGGCCUGCAUACGGGAUGAUUCCAUGUGGACUGCCACAUCAAGGAAGCAAACAAGGAAAGCCUGGCGCUGCGUGGAGCUGUCUUUCGCUGCUAACUGCCCUUGACCGACUUCCUACCAGGUCUUCCCCGUGCGCCUCUAACCCCAGGAGGUGCUGCUGGCAUGCCCACCUCUCAGAUGAAGCAGUGCGGUCCAGAGAGCGUCUUGGGCACCGCCUGCCUCACAGCUGG